GACGAACGCUGGCGGCGUGCCUAAUACAUGCAAGUAGAACGCACAGUUUAUACCGUAGCUUGCUACACCAUAGACUGUGAGUUGCGAACGGGUGAGUAACGCGUAGGUAACCUGCCUGGUAGCGGGGGAUAACUAUUGGAAACGAUAGCUAAUACCGCAUAAUAUUAAUUAUUGCAUGAUAAUUAAUUGAAAGGUGCAAUUGCACCACUACCAGAUGGACCUGCGUUGUAUUAGCUAGUAGGUGAGGUAACGGCUCACCUAGGCGACGAUACAUAGCCGACCUGAGAGGGUGAUCGGCCACACUGGGACUGAGACACGGCCCAGACUCCUACGGGAGGCAGCAGUAGGGGAUCUUCGGCAAUGGACGAAAGUCUGACCGAGCAACGCCGCGUGAGUGAAGAAGGUUUUCGGAUCGUAAAGCUCUGUUGUAAGAGAAGAACGGGUGUGAGAGUGGAAAGUCCACACUGUGACGGUAUCUUACCAGAAAGGGACGGCUAACUACGUG
Molecule: ribosomal RNA, 505 nt
Filed under: uncultured bacterium
Lineage: Bacteria
Description: partial 16S ribosomal RNA
Rfam family: Bacterial small subunit ribosomal RNA
Source: RNAcentral